Molecule: transfer RNA, 848 nt
Filed under: Candidatus Bartonella paramelis
Lineage: Bacteria; Pseudomonadati; Pseudomonadota; Alphaproteobacteria; Hyphomicrobiales; Bartonellaceae
Description: partial 16S-23S ribosomal RNA intergenic spacer
Rfam family: tRNA (bases 283-356)
Source: RNAcentral
CGAGAUGAUCCCAAGCCUUCUGGCGCUUGUUGGGCGGAAAUAUGCCUAUGAUUUAAGGACUUCGCUUUAAGAAAAGGGCUUUCCCUUACGUAACUAGCUCUCUUGAGGAGUUUCGCGAAAGAGACCUCUUUCUGGUUUAGGGAAGAAGUUUUUGCUUGUCGGGGAGCUUGCUUGUGCCAAAGAGGGUUGCUUUUGGUAAGAGUCCUCUUCCUUCCCUUUUGAAGGAAGAAAGCUUUUGAGGGAGCGGUUUGUACCGGGGAGUGCUUUCCGGUUUAUUCCAGAGGGCUUGUAGCUCAGUUGGUUAGAGCGCGCGCUUGAUAAGCGUGAGGUCGGAGGUUCAAGUCCUCCCAGGCCCACCAUUAUACUCACGCCUUAGAGUGAGGUUUCCGGAUUUUUGCAGUCUUUCGGCUUGCAUAUAUGGAUAGAUCAUUUUAUGAAAUAAAGUGUGGUAGAGAAGAGAGGGUGAGUGAAUUUUGUCGCUAUAAAAUGCGCUUUUGUUUGUCUCUCUUUAUCUCUUUAAAGUUUGAAGCAUUAUUCAGUAAGGGGCCGUAGCUCAGCUGGGAGAGCACCUGCUUUGCAAGCAGGGGGUCGUCGGUUCGAUCCCGUCCGGCUCCACCAUUUAGCGGAUCCGUUUUUUGAUCAUCAUCGACGUUGAAAGAACAGAGUUUGCGAGGGGAUCUGAUCCUCUUUGCGUGUUCUAUUGAAAUUGUGAAGAGAAGGUAUAUUCAGACAUUUUUUGUUUGAGCUUUUUGUAUCUGGAGGGUUUAUAAUCCUUUUCUGUGGGUAUUUUGAGUUUUUAAACAAGGAUGUGUCGCAUUGGGGCGCUCACCCCAUUGCUUAUGAUUGAA